This 440-nucleotide ribosomal RNA is filed under the name uncultured bacterium. RNAcentral describes it as "partial 16S ribosomal RNA". It matches the Rfam family "Bacterial small subunit ribosomal RNA", at positions 338 to 795 of the family's 1533-position model. The record is from RNAcentral.
CCUACGGGUGGCUGCAGUGGGGAAUAUUGCACAAUGGGGGAAACCCUGAUGCAGCGACGCCGCGUGAGUGAAGAAGUAUUUCGGUACGUAAAGCCCUAUCAGCAGGGAAGAAAAUGACGGUACCUGACUAAGAAGCCCCGGCUAACUACGUGCCAGCAGCCGCGGUAAUACGUAGGGGGCAAGCGUUAUCCGGAUUUACUGGGUGUAAAGGGAGCGUAGACGGCAGCGCAAGUCUGGAGUGAAAUCCCAUGGCUUAACCAUGGAACUGCUUUGGAAACUGUGCAGCUAGAGUGCAGGAGAGGUAAGCGGAAUUCCUAGUGUAGCGAUGAAAUGCGUAGAUAUUAGGAGGAACACCAGUGGCGAAGGCAGCUUGCUGGACUGUAACUGACGUUGAGGCUCGAAAGCGUGGGGAGCGAACAGGAUUAGAUACCCGUGUAGUC